RNAcentral lists this ribosomal RNA (892 nucleotides) under Leuconostoc citreum. RNAcentral describes it as "bacterial SSU rRNA". It matches the Rfam family "Bacterial small subunit ribosomal RNA", at positions 379 to 1264 of the family's 1533-position model. The record is from RNAcentral. Lineage: Bacteria; Bacillati; Bacillota; Bacilli; Lactobacillales; Lactobacillaceae.
GCAGCUGAUGGAGCACGCCGCGUGUGUGAUGAAGGCUUUCGGGUCGUAAAGCACUGUUGUAUGGGAAGAAAUGCUAAAAUAGGGAAUGAUUUUAGUUUGACGGUACCAUACCAGAAAGGGACGGCUAAAUACGUGCCAGCAGCCGCGGUAAUACGUAUGUCCCGAGCGUUAUCCGGAUUUAUUGGGCGUAAAGCGAGCGCAGACGGUUGAUUAAGUCUGAUGUGAAAGCCCGGAGCUCAACUCCGGAAUGGCAUUGGAAACUGGUUAACUUGAGUGUUGUAGAGGUAAGUGGAACUCCAUGUGUAGCGGUGGAAUGCGUAGAUAUAUGGAAGAACACCAGUGGCGAAGGCGGCUUACUGGACAACAACUGACGUUGAGGCUCGAAAGUGUGGGUAGCAAACAGGAUUAGAUACCCUGGUAGUCCACACCGUAAACGAUGAAUACUAGGUGUUAGGAGGUUUCCGCCUCUUAGUGCCGAAGCUAACGCAUUAAGUAUUCCGCCUGGGGAGUACGACCGCAAGGUUGAAACUCAAAGGAAUUGACGGGGACCCGCACAAGCGGUGGAGCAUGUGGUUUAAUUCGAAGCAACGCGAAGAACCUUACCAGGUCUUGACAUCCUUUGAAGCUUUUAGAGAUAGAAGUGUUCUCUUCGGAGACAAAGUGACAGGUGGUGCAUGGUCGUCGUCAGCUCGUGUCGUGAGAUGUUGGGUUAAGUCCCGCAACGAGCGCAACCCUUAUUGUUAGUUGCCAGCAUUCAGUUGGGCACUCUAGCGAGACUGCCGGUGACAAACCGGAGGAAGGCGGGGACGACGUCAGAUCAUCAUGCCCCUUAUGACCUGGGCUACACACGUGCUACAAUGGCGUAUACAACGAGUUGCCAACCUGCGAAGGU